Molecule: microRNA, 22 nt
Filed under: Gallus gallus (chicken)
Lineage: Eukaryota; Metazoa; Chordata; Aves; Galliformes; Phasianidae
Description: gga-miR-6669-3p
Source: miRBase by way of RNAcentral
UUGCAGCCUGGCCGUAUCUCAG